UACGUAGGUGGCAAGCGUUGUCCGGAAUUAUUGGGCGUAAAGAGCUCGUAGGCGGCUCGUUGCGUCGGCUGUGAAAACCCGCAGCUCAACUGUGGGCUUGCAGCUGAUACGGGCGGGCUGGGAUUCGGUAGGGGAGACUGGAAUUCCUGGUGUAGCGGUGAAAUGCGCAGAUAUCAGGAGGAACACCGGUGGCGAAGGCGGGUCUCUGGGCCGAUAUCGACGCUGAGGAGCGAAAGCGUGGGGAGCGAACAGG
This 253-nucleotide ribosomal RNA is filed under the name uncultured bacterium. RNAcentral describes it as "partial 16S ribosomal RNA". It matches the Rfam family "Bacterial small subunit ribosomal RNA", at positions 524 to 776 of the family's 1533-position model. The record is from RNAcentral.